Molecule: ribosomal RNA, 495 nt
Filed under: uncultured bacterium
Lineage: Bacteria
Description: partial 16S ribosomal RNA
Rfam family: Bacterial small subunit ribosomal RNA
Source: RNAcentral
GACGAACGCUGGCGGCGUGCCUAAUACAUGCAAGUCGAACGCUGAAGGAGGAGCUUGCUUCUCUGGAUGAGUUGCGAACGGGUGAGUAACGCGUAGGUAACCUGCCUGGUAGCGGGGGAUAACUAUUGGAAACGAUAGCUAAUACCGCAUAAGGGUAGAUGUCGCAUGACAUUUGCUUAAAAGGUGCAAUUGCAUCACUACCAGAUGGACCUGCGUUGUAUUAGCUAGUUGGUGAGGUAACGGCUCACCAAGGCAACGAUACAUAGCCGACCUGAGAGGGUGAUCGGCCACACUGGGACUGAGACACGGCCCAGACUCCUACGGGAGGCAGCAGUAGGGAAUCUUCGGCAAUGGACGGAAGUCUGACCGAGCAACGCCGCGUGAGUGAAGAAGGGUUUCGGAUCGUAAAGCUCUGUUGUAAGAGAAGAACGAGUGUGAGAGUGGAAAGUUCACACUGUGACGGUAUCUUACCAGAAAGAGACGGCUAACUACGUG